This 668-nucleotide unclassified non-coding RNA is filed under the name Hevea brasiliensis (rubber tree). Lineage: Eukaryota; Viridiplantae; Streptophyta; Magnoliopsida; Malpighiales; Euphorbiaceae. The record is from RNAcentral.
AGCAUUUAUCUUAAAAAACGUAAAGGCCUCCACUUCCCCAUUCUCAGAAACUGAGCGUGCUAUUCACCACCACGCGCCUCCACUCACCACCGCAGCGCUUCCAGGGAAAAAAAAAUACACAAACACAAAGCAGCGCCUAUGAAAAAAAAAAGACCCCCUCCCCCCCUUUUGUGAUCUCCGCAUGCGUGAUUUGCACGCGCCGCUUUGUUGCGGCUCUGUUCCUGGUUGUUGAGCUUGAGUACUAGCUUGAGCUUAUCAUCAAACCCUAACCCUAAUUCAACUUCCUCUUCUUCUUCUUCUUCUUCUUCCCUGCUCUGUAAACACUCUCCAUCAGCCACCCUAGACAUUCUAAUUCUGAUUCUGGUUCUCUUCGCAGGGAUUUUCCUCUUAACUUCUUACUUUUCUUAUAUAUUUCGCUCUCUUUCCAUCCUCCUCUCUCACUCUUCCCUCCACCUUUCCAUCCAUGUCCCUCCCGUUCCCUACAUUUGCGGCUUCUUGGCGCUGUUCCUCCUUUCUAUUCUUUUUGUUGAGUUCUGCUGCGGUCCGAGAUCUCGCAAGUGCGAGAAGCCUGGAUGCAAGGGAUUGAAGAAGGCGAUGGAGUUCGAUUUACAGUUGCAAACGGAGGAUUGUCUGAAAUCCAGUGGAGCUAAGGAGUUCGAUAAGUUGCC